UAGAGGGUCAUUUAAAUGAAAAGAUAAAGAUUUUUGAUAUCUUAAAUAAAGGUUAAAAUCCUUUCCUUCUAA
RNAcentral lists this transfer RNA (72 nucleotides) under Babesia orientalis. RNAcentral's name for it is "tRNA-Gln". It matches the Rfam family "tRNA". Rfam says of the family: Transfer RNA (tRNA) molecules are approximately 80 nucleotides in length. Their secondary structure includes four short double-helical elements and three loops (D, anti-codon, and T loops). Further hydrogen bonds mediate the characteristic L-shaped molecular structure. tRNAs have two regions of fundamental functional importance: the anti-codon, which is responsible for specific mRNA codon recognition, and the 3' end, to which the tRNAs corresponding amino acid is attached (by aminoacyl-tRNA synthetases). tRNAs cope with the degeneracy of the genetic code in two manners: having more than one tRNA (with a specific anti-codon) for a particular amino acid; and 'wobble' base-pairing, i.e. permitting non-standard base-pairing at the 3rd anti-codon position. The record is from RNAcentral. Lineage: Eukaryota; Apicomplexa; Aconoidasida; Piroplasmida; Babesiidae.